AAGAAAAUAUCAUGUUUUGAGGAUCUCACUUCAAAAAUUUUGUAGCAAAUUAUCUUGGAAAAAUAGAUAUUAGUCAAAGGGUAGAAAAAUUAAAGGUGCUAAUACUGUAAUUUUUCCAAAUUAUGCUUCUAUUUACUUUGUAAGGCUAUAAAUAAGACAAAACAAGGUAGAUUAAAAAAAUAAAGGAUAUACGCAUAUGUAGGGAGGAGUUAGGAGUGCAAAUUAGUAAAAAUUACCUCAAGAAGACAAAAGUUGAUACCCGAAGAGGACCAGUUAUGAAUGUGGAUCGAAAUCAGAUCCCAAGGCACAAAACUGAGCUUUGACAGCAACUCAAGGGUUCUUUGGGAGAUCGAAGAACUGAAUUAGAGAGAAGACUUGUGGAGGGAUUUUUGACAGGUGAUUUUGUAUCGUUUGGAUCAGUAUUGGAUUUUUGAGGGAUUUUCAAAGCAAGUGAUGUUCUCUGUGAAUUUAGAUCUUUGAGAAAUAAAACUAGUUUACAAAUUUUUGGAUUUCGUGUCUUUUGUUGCAUUUUUACGGAUGAAAAUUCAGAAACUUAUUGGUAUCCUUGUUCUAAAUACGUAUAAGAGAUUUGAGGUCAAUCAAAUGGCUAGAUCGAUACAUAUGAAGGUUUUUGUGGACUAAGGUCUUGGGAUUUAGGAUUUUGCAAACUAAUAAGGUUUUCUUAGAUAUCUAGCAAUUUGCUA
Molecule: long non-coding RNA, 704 nt
Filed under: Physcomitrium patens
Lineage: Eukaryota; Viridiplantae; Streptophyta; Bryopsida; Funariales; Funariaceae
Description: long non-coding RNA (PPAT_LNC003328)
Source: RNAcentral